AACGAACGCUGGCGGCAUGCCUAACACAUGCAAGUCGAACGAGACCUUCGGGUCUAGUGGCGCACGGGUGCGUAACGCGUGGGAACCUGCCCUUAGGUUCGGAAUAACUCCCCGAAAGGGGUGCUAAUACCGGAUAAUGUCUUCGGACCAAAGAUUUAUCGCCUUUGGAUGGGCCCGCGUUGGAUUAGCUAGUUGGUAGGGUAAAAGCCUACCAAGGCGACGAUCCAUAGCUGGUCUGAGAGGAUGAUCAGCCACACUGGGACUGAGACACGGCCCAGACCCCUACGGGGGGCAGCAGUGGGGAAUAUUGGACAAGGGGCGAAAGCCUGAUCCAGCAAGGCCGGGUGAGUGAUGAAGGCCUUAGGGUUGUAAAGCUCUUUUACCCGGGAUGAUAAUGACAGUACCGGGAAAAUAAGCCCCGGCUAACCCCGU
RNAcentral lists this ribosomal RNA (432 nucleotides) under uncultured bacterium. RNAcentral's name for it is "partial 16S ribosomal RNA". It matches the Rfam family "Bacterial small subunit ribosomal RNA", at positions 29 to 506 of the family's 1533-position model. The record is from RNAcentral.